RNAcentral lists this microRNA (22 nucleotides) under Schistosoma japonicum. RNAcentral describes it as "miRNA-3129". The record is from RNAcentral. Lineage: Eukaryota; Metazoa; Platyhelminthes; Trematoda; Strigeidida; Schistosomatidae.
AGCAAUGCUGUCGUUAGGAAAA